Molecule: non-coding RNA, 53 nt
Organism: Salmo salar (Atlantic salmon)
Lineage: Eukaryota; Metazoa; Chordata; Actinopteri; Salmoniformes; Salmonidae
Source: Rfam
UGCACCCAAUCUGUAAGUCGCUCUGGAUAAGAGCGUCUGCUAAAUGAAGUAAA